AUUGAACGCUGGCGGCAGGCCUAACACAUGCAAGUCGAACGAGCGGCGGACGGGUGAGUAAUGUCUGGGAAUCUGCCCGAUGGAGGGGGAUAACUACUGGAAACGGUAGCUAAUACCGCAUACCAUCGGAUGUGCCCAGAUGGGAUUAGCUAGUAGGUGGGGUAAAGGCUCACCUAGGCGACGAUCCCUAGCUGGUCUGAGAGGAUGACCAGCCACACUGGAACUGAGACACGGUCCAGACUCCUACGGGAGGCAGCAGUGGGGAAUAUUGCACAAUGGGCGCAAGCCUGAUGCAGCCAUGCCUCGUGUAUGAAGAAGGCCUUCGGGUUGUAAAGUACUUUCAGCGAGGAGGCGUUACCCGCAGAAGAAGCACCGGCUAACUCCGUGCCAGCAGCCGCGGUAAUAC
This 406-nucleotide ribosomal RNA is filed under the name uncultured bacterium. RNAcentral's name for it is "partial 16S ribosomal RNA". It matches the Rfam family "Bacterial small subunit ribosomal RNA", at positions 30 to 526 of the family's 1533-position model. The record is from RNAcentral.